This 497-nucleotide ribosomal RNA is filed under the name uncultured bacterium. RNAcentral describes it as "partial 16S ribosomal RNA". It matches the Rfam family "Bacterial small subunit ribosomal RNA", at positions 28 to 507 of the family's 1533-position model. The record is from RNAcentral.
GAUGAACGCUGGCGGCGUGCCUAAUACAUGCAAGUCGAGCGAACGGACGAGAAGCUUGCUUCUCUGAUGUUAGCGGCGGACGGGUGAGUAACACGUGGAUAACCUACCUAUAAGACUGGGAUAACUUCGGGAAACCGUAGCUAAUACCGGAUAAUAUUUUGAACCGCAUGGUUCAAAGGUGAAAGACGGUCUUGCUGUCACUUAUAGAUGGAUCCGCGCUGCAUUAGCUAGUUGGUAAGGUAACGGCUUACCAAGGCAACGAUGCAUAGCCGACCUGAGAGGGUGAUCGGCCACACUGGAACUGAGACACGGUCCAGACUCCUACGGGAGGCAGCAGUAGGGAAUCUUCCGCAAUGGGCGAAAGCCUGACGGAGCAACGCCGCGUGAGUGAUGAAGGUCUUCGGAUCGUAAAACUCUGUUAUUAGGGAAGAACAUAUGUGUAAGUAACUGUGCACAUCUCGACGGUACCUAAUCAGAAAGCCACGGCUAACUACGUG